CGUCCGGCCACCAAUCGGCGAGCCCAGGGUGACGGUCGACUCCUCUCUUCCUCUCCUAUACGCCUGUGGUCGUGGGUCGUCGUGAUUUGGCCGGAGAAGCUCGAAUUCAAGCCAAGAAGAUUACUGUAGCACUUUGUUAUUUCCGGCGAUAUCUUCCGAUUCCGGCCGCCUCCGGCCACCAAACCGGCGUCGAAGGUGCGGUUUUCUCCAAGGAUCAUUUUCCCCCUAGCCUUGAGCCACGAUUUGCAGUGUAGAGGGGGAAUCAAGGAGAAACCCAAUUCUAGGGUUUUGAAAUUUUCUGGAAAUUUUUCACCGGCCGAAUUGGAGCUCUUCAAGGGUGACGCACCGAGCGAUUGCUCGACGAAGGAACUCGUAUGCGUGAUCACCUGAAUAGUACUUUUGCAGGCGAAAUUAGUUGAGGUCGGGCGUACAUGGAAUUGAGGCAUAGUCAACAGCAUGGCUUCCGCGUUUGCCUUUGAAUUAGGUUUUCCUUGUUUACCUUUCUAUUAGAAUUGCUCUGAUUACCUGUGGAAUUAAUGUUAUUCAAGUUGCGUUUUGGUGUUAUGUGAAUUGGACGAUGUUGUGAUUUGGGGAGCAGAUGGCUCCAGGAGAAUAAGGAUGGAUGAUUUAGAAGUGUAAAUGUUUCCUACAGGUUUUGGGUAGCCUACUUUUAGGGGAAGUUCCGCCAAAUUUUCGGUAGAAUUUCUUCUAAAGUGGGCCCCGCAGGGCCACUUCGGAUUUCGGGGUGAAAUCCGGGGCAGGUC
Rosa rugosa (rugosa rose) is the source of this 764-nucleotide long non-coding RNA. RefSeq lists it as uncharacterized. The record is from RefSeq and is a predicted model, not a curated record. Lineage: Eukaryota; Viridiplantae; Streptophyta; Magnoliopsida; Rosales; Rosaceae. The transcript is spliced from 3 exons.